This 458-nucleotide ribosomal RNA is filed under the name Mycobacterium sp. ITM-2017-0098. RNAcentral's name for it is "bacterial LSU rRNA". It matches the Rfam family "Bacterial large subunit ribosomal RNA", at positions 2365 to 2822 of the family's 2925-position model. The record is from RNAcentral. Lineage: Bacteria; Bacillati; Actinomycetota; Actinomycetes; Mycobacteriales; Mycobacteriaceae.
GAGCUUGACUGCGAGACGUACAUGUCAAGCAGGGACGAAAGUCGGGACUAGUGAUCCGGCACCUCUGAGUGGAAGGGGUGUCGCUCAACGGAUAAAAGGUACCCCGGGGAUAACAGGCUGAUCUUCCCCAAGAGUCCAUAUCGACGGGAUGGUUUGGCACCUCGAUGUCGGCUCGUCGCAUCCUGGGGCUGGAGCAGGUCCCAAGGGUUGGGCUGUUCGCCCAUUAAAGCGGCACGCGAGCUGGGUUUAGAACGUCGUGAGACAGUUCGGUCUCUAUCCGCCGCGCGCGUCAGAAGCUUGAGGAAACCUGUCCCUAGUACGAGAGGACCGGGACGGACGAACCUCUGGUACACCAGUUGUCCCACCAGGGGCACCGCUGGAUAGCCACGUUCGGACAGGAUAACCGCUGAAAGCAUCUAAGCGGGAAACCCCCUCCAAGACCAGGCUUCUCACCCAUU